RNAcentral lists this ribosomal RNA (867 nucleotides) under Triticum aestivum (bread wheat). RNAcentral's name for it is "partial small subunit ribosomal RNA". The record is from RNAcentral. Lineage: Eukaryota; Viridiplantae; Streptophyta; Magnoliopsida; Poales; Poaceae.
AUGAUUCGCCUGGAAAUGAAGUUCAGUGCAGUUCCAAGUUUGGUCGAGUGUCUGACCUCCGUCUGCCAUCCACCCUCCCGUGGUUUGUCGUCGCCGACACGCUCCCACAUUCGCCACUGCAGGAAGGAGCAAGACCUCCCACGUCUGACCAACCAGCUGCUAAACAGCUCCGGCUCCUCACAGGCCAACCAGCUGCUAAACAAACUCAACGAUCAUCUGGGCUCUGGGAUGCUCAGGCCGGAGCUCGCGCACCAACUGUUCGACAAAUUGUUCCCUCAAACCGUUCCGGUAUCAGCAGACGCACUCAAUGUCUUAUUUUCUGCCCUCGCGUGUGGGCUGCCCUCCGCCGCCUGCAACGAUGGACCUGCCCUCGCCAUCGCUCUCUUCAAACACAUGGCACGAGCAAGAUGCCGCCAGGUGAUGGCACCCACCAAUCACACUUACAACACACUAAUUGAGUGCUGCCACAUGACGCACCGCCCGGACAUAGGGCCCGCCUUCUUCGGCCUCCUCCUCAAGACAGGCAUCACGGCAGAUGUCUUCACCUUCAACAGCUUAUUGAAGUGCCUCUGUGACAUGAAGCAAUCAGAUGAGGCUCUAGGCAUGCUGCUCCACAGGAUGCCCGGCGACAUGCCUGAUGUCAUCUCCUACUCAGUAAUUAUCAAGAGCUUCUGUGACAACGGGAGGAGCCAACGUGCACUUGACCUGCUCCGGAUGAUGACCAAAAAGGGAUCUGACCACUCCCCCAAUGUGGUUUCAUACACAAUAAUCAUUGGUGGAUUAAUUAAGGAGGGUGAACUAAGCAAAGCAUGCGCUCUAUUCCAUGAAAUGAUGCAGCAGGGGGUUGUGCCUGAUGUGGUGACGUAG